UCUGUACUCAUGAGAGGCAGCCUACAGA
This 28-nucleotide non-coding RNA is filed under the name Mus musculus (house mouse). The record is from RNAcentral. Lineage: Eukaryota; Metazoa; Chordata; Mammalia; Rodentia; Muridae.